Molecule: ribosomal RNA, 531 nt
Filed under: uncultured Bacilli bacterium
Lineage: Bacteria; Bacillati; Bacillota; Bacilli
Description: bacterial SSU rRNA
Rfam family: Bacterial small subunit ribosomal RNA
Source: RNAcentral
CUGAUGGAUGGACCCGCGGUGCAUUAGCUAGUUGGUGAGGUAACGGCUCACCAAGGCCACGAUGCAUAGCCGACCUGAGAGGGUGAUCGGCCACAUUGGGACUGAAAGACACGGCCCAAACUCCUACGGGAGGCAGCAGUAGGGAAUUCUGUCGGCCAAUGGACGAAAGUCUGACCGAGCAACGCCGCGUGAGUGAAGAAGGCUUUCGGGUCGUAAAACUCUGUUGUUGGAGAAGAAUGGUCGGCAGAGUAACUGUUGUCGGCGUGACGGUAUCCAACCAGAAAGCCACGGCUAACUACGUGCCAGCAGCCGCGGUAAUACGUAGGUGGCAAGCGUUAUCCGGAUUUAUUGGGCGUAAAGCGAGCGCAGGCGGUUUUUUAAGUCUGAUGUGAAAGCCCUCGGCUUAACCGAGGAAGUGCAUCGGAAACUGGGAAACUUGAGUGCAGAAGAGGACAGUGGAACUCCAUGUGUAGCGGUGAAAUGCGUAGAUAUAUGGAAGAACACCAGUGGCGAAGGCGGCUGUCUGGUCUG